This 125-nucleotide ribosomal RNA is filed under the name Halomonas shengliensis. RNAcentral's name for it is "23S rRNA. Bacterial LSU". It matches the Rfam family "Bacterial large subunit ribosomal RNA", at positions 2807 to 2925 of the family's 2925-position model. The record is from RNAcentral. Lineage: Bacteria; Pseudomonadati; Pseudomonadota; Gammaproteobacteria; Oceanospirillales; Halomonadaceae.
AGAUCUCCCCGAGGCCUCGAGCCUCCUGAAGGGCCCAGCGAGACCAGCUGGUUGAUAGGCCGGAUGUGGAAGCGCUGCAAGGCGUUGAGCUAACCGGUACUAAUGGCCCGUGAGGCUUGACCAUA